This 411-nucleotide ribosomal RNA is filed under the name Triticum aestivum (bread wheat). RNAcentral's name for it is "partial small subunit ribosomal RNA". The record is from RNAcentral. Lineage: Eukaryota; Viridiplantae; Streptophyta; Magnoliopsida; Poales; Poaceae.
AUGGCGGACGCCAUGUUCAGGCUCCCGGAGAAGCUGGACGGGUUACUGGCCAGCCAUGGCCAAACGCUGCCCCGGGGCGCGGGGGAGGAGAUACCUCUCAUCAAGCAAGAUCUGGAGAAGAUGGUCGCCAUUCUCCAGGAGCACAGUGACUCCAGAGCAGAGGACCGUGUUAUGACGGCCAAGUGCCUGGCCAAGGAGGUGCGCGAGCUCUCGUACGACAUGGAGGACAGCGUCGAGCAGUACGAGCAGGCCGCCACCACCAGCAGAUGGAUAGCUCCUCGCCGUAGGAAGCACACGCCCGCUCGUCAUAGAGUUACACGGCUUCCGGAGAAACUCAGGUGGCGCCUAUGGAUGGCCAACAAGAUCAGGGAGUUCAGCUUGCGCUCGCAGGGGCAGGAGGCGCCUCUUUAA